This 1864-nucleotide long non-coding RNA is filed under the name Coturnix japonica (Japanese quail). Its description in RNAcentral is "lncRNA (ENSCJPG00005007603.1)". Lineage: Eukaryota; Metazoa; Chordata; Aves; Galliformes; Phasianidae. The record is from RNAcentral.
AGCAGCAAGGGACAGGGGCCUGCCCAGGAAUCCCAGUUCUUAGGCAUAAAAUGGCAAGAUGGACGUCGUCACAUCCCAGCAGAUGUGAUUGACAAAAUCACUGCUAUGUCUCCGCCCACAAAUAAAAACAGAGAGACCCAAUCUUUUUCUGGGAGUAGUGGGCUUUUGGAGAAUGCAUGUCCCAAACUACAGCCACAUAGUGAGCCCUCUCUAUCAGGUAACACGGAAGAAGAAUAAUUUCUCAUGGGGUCCUGGCAGCAGCAGGCUUUUGAGCAGAUAAAACAAGAAAAGCCCCGGCCGUGGCCUUGGGGCCAGUACGGACGGGACAGGAUGUGAAGAACAUCCUCUACACUGCUGCUGAGAGAAAGGUCCCACCUGGAGUUUGUGGCAAAGAAGCCUCAGGAGAGACCCGAGGCCGACCCCUAGGAUUUUGGAGUCGAGCUAUUAAAGGGUCUGAGGAGCGCUACACUCCAACUGAGAAGGAGAUCUUAGCCGUGUAUGAGGGGGUUCGGCUGCUUCUGAAGUAGUUGGGACAGAGGUUCAGCUUCUCUAGCACCCGCUUGCCAGACAUAAACUGGAAUGUUAAAGGACAGGGUUCCCUCCACCCAUAUGCUACUUAUGCCACUUGGAGUGAGUGGAUUUCAUUAAUUACUCAACGAGCUCGAAUGGGAAAACUCAGCCGUCCUGGAAUUCUAGAAAGUGAUCAUGGACUGGCCUGAGAGUAAAAAAAUUGAAACACCACCUACAGAAGAGGUAUCACGUGCUAAAGAGGCACCACCAUACAAUGAGCUACCAGAAAACGAAAAGAAAUUUGCCCUGUUCACAGACGGAUCAUGUCGUAUUGUAGGGAUUUGUAUGGAAUAAAUAUAGAUUGUUGAGAAAAAAUAAGGUUGCUGAUUAUUCACAAUUAUACAUAUAAGUGUGUAAGUAUGUAUAAAUAUAAUGUAAUGAUGUAGAAUAAGGGGUGGAAUGUCAUGGUUUAAUAAUUUUGUAAUUUUUGCUAUCAGUAUUCACAUCAUAACAUCAUAUUAAGCAUGAAUAAUUUUACUGAAUCUGCAACUUACAGAAGAAGACUACAUCUCCCAGAGAACAAACGAUAGGUCACGGGACCUGGACUCUAUAUAAACCUCUGUCGCAGAAACAGACUGAAGGUCUUUUCGAGUUCUGGCGUUCAGGGGAGUGUGUGCGGAGCCUUCAGCCGUUCGCCUAGAUUUCUACAGUAGCCUCUCGUUACGGGACUCAUUCUCUCUCCUAUUUUGCUUGAUUCGUUAGCUCAAUUUUCAAUUAUAUUUUAUUAUAUUGUGUUAUCCUGUAUUUCGAUAUAGUAUUUAGUAAAUAAGUGUGCCUCCUUAGAUCGUUGCCGCUGUUUUCUUUUCCUAAUUAAUUAACUUUUCUUUUCGGCCUAGGGCCCCUCCGGGGCCUGCGGCCCCUGUCACGGACGCAGGUGGAUUUUUAGUUCAAACCGUGACAACAUUAAAAUCAUAGAAAUAAUAACUACUGAUGAUUAAUCUUAAAUUUGGAGUCUGGGUAAGAAUUACUCCCAAGGAAAGCACAGCACUGACCCAGACACCAACACUAGAAGGAGUGUGUUCUCGAGUUGGAAAAAAAGGACCAGGAAAGUACACUGCAGGUGUUUUUGCAUUUAUCAGGUGAGCUGUUCAACAUCACCAGUUUGGGAGGAGCAAAAAAUUCAAGUCAAAUACACGGCCUUUAAAGCAAAACAAACAGCUCCUCUGAAAACUAUUGCUAUCAGAAAACUACUAGAAAACAUUUUGAUAAUCUGAAUUUCUUGUUUUCCUACUGUUACGUCCUCAUGUGCUUUCUAAAUCACUGUUUGCAAUCUUCAGUAAGAAAUGAAGAAGUC